CCCUUCGGGGUGAGUAGAGUGGCGAACGGGUGAGUAACACGUGGGCAACCUGCCCCUCGCAGGGGGACAACCGGAGGAAACUCCGGCUAAUACCCCGUACGCUCCACGCAUCGCAUGUUGUGUGGAGGAAAGGUAGCUUCGGCCAUCUGGCGAGGGAUGGGCCCGCGGUGCAUUAGCUAGUUGGUGGGGUAACGGCUCACCAAGGCGACGAUGCAUAGCUGGUCUGAGAGGAUGAUCAGCCACACUGGGACUGAGACACGGCCCAGACUCCUACGGGAGGCAGCAGCCAGGAAUCUUGGGCAAUGGGCGCAAGCCUGACCCAGCAACACCGUGUGGGCGAUGAAGGCCUUCGGGUCGUAAAGCCCUGUUGAUAGGGACGAAGGGCGAAGGGUUAAUAGCCCCUAGCUUGACGGUACCUUUCGAGGAAGCCCCGGCUAACUACGUGCCAGCAGCCGCGGUAAUACGUAGGGGGCGAGCGUUGUCCGGAUUUAUUGGGCGUAAAGAGCGUGUAGGCGGUUCGGUAAGUCUGUCGUGAAAUCCUGAGGCUCAACCUCGGACGUGCGAUGGAUACUGCCGGGCUAGAGGAUGGUAGAGGCGAGUGGAAUUCCCGGUGUAGCGGUGAAAUGCGCAGAUAUCGGGAGGAACACCAGUAGCGAAGGCGGCUCGCUGGGCCAUUCCUGACGCUGAGACGCGAAAGCUAGGGGAGCGAACAGGAUUAGAUACCCUGGUAGUCCUAGCCGUAAACGAUGGACACUAGGUGUGGGGGGAGUCGAAUCCCUCUGUGCCGCAGCCAACGCGUU
Molecule: ribosomal RNA, 800 nt
Filed under: uncultured Rubrobacteraceae bacterium
Lineage: Bacteria; Bacillati; Actinomycetota; Rubrobacteria; Rubrobacterales; Rubrobacteraceae
Description: bacterial SSU rRNA
Rfam family: Bacterial small subunit ribosomal RNA
Source: RNAcentral